RNAcentral lists this ribosomal RNA (253 nucleotides) under uncultured bacterium. RNAcentral's name for it is "partial 16S ribosomal RNA". It matches the Rfam family "Bacterial small subunit ribosomal RNA", at positions 524 to 776 of the family's 1533-position model. The record is from RNAcentral.
UACAGAGGGUGCGAGCGUUAAUCGGAAUUACUGGGCGUAAAGCGCGCGUAGGCGGCUUUCCAAGUCGAUUGUGAAAUCCCCAGGCUUAACCUGGGAACUGCAGUCGAGACUGUCUAGCUAGAGUAUGGGAGAGGGAAGUGGAAUUUCAGGUGUAGCGGUGAAAUGCGUAGAUAUCUGAAGGAACAUCAGUGGCGAAAGCGACUUCCUGGACCAAUACUGACGCUCAUGUGCGAAAGCGUGGGGAGCAAACAGG